GAAAUGCGAUAACUAAUGUGAAUUGCAGAAUUCAGUGAAUCAUCGAGUCUUUGAACGCACAUUGCGCCCCCUGGUAUUCCGGGGGGCAUGCCUGUCCGAGCGUCAUUGCUGCCCUCAAGCCCGGCUUGUGUGUUGGGCCCUCGUCCCCCGGCUCCCGGGGGACGGGCCCGAAAGGCAGCGGCGGCACCGCGUCCGGUCCUCGAGCGUAUGGGGCUUCGUCUUCCGCUCCGGUAGCGGACGGGCCCCAAAUGGAGUGUGCGGCGCGGUGCGCUUGGCUGCAGUGUAUGGGAACAUCUCACACUCGCGGUGCGUCACCACGCUCGUCUCUAGACAUCUUCUCUCGGUUUGACCUCGGAUCAGGUAGGGAUACCCGCUGAACUUAAGC
Molecule: unclassified non-coding RNA, 385 nt
Filed under: plant metagenome
Description: partial contains 5.8S ribosomal RNA, internal transcribed spacer 2, and large subunit ribosomal RNA
Rfam family: 5.8S ribosomal RNA (bases 1-105)
Source: RNAcentral